Ribosomal RNA from Vitis vinifera (wine grape), 119 nucleotides. The record is from Rfam. NCBI's taxonomy places the organism in Eukaryota, Viridiplantae, Streptophyta, Magnoliopsida, Vitales, Vitaceae.
GGGUGCGAUCAUACCAGCACUAAUGCAUCGGAUCCCAUCAGAACUCCGCAGUUAAGCGUGCUUGGGCGAGAGUAGUACUAGGAUGGGUGACCUCCUGGGAAGUCCUCGUGUUGCACCCC